Molecule: ribosomal RNA, 253 nt
Filed under: uncultured bacterium
Lineage: Bacteria
Description: partial 16S ribosomal RNA
Rfam family: Bacterial small subunit ribosomal RNA
Source: RNAcentral
UACGUAGGGUGCAAGCGUUAAUCGGAAUUACUGGGCGUAAAGCGUGCGCAGGCGGUUAUUCAAGUCAGAGGUGAAAUCCCCGGGCUCAACCUGGGAACUGCCUUUGUGACUGCAUAGCUAGAGUACGGUAGAGGGGGAUGGAAUUCCGCGUGUAGCAGUGAAAUGCGUAGAUAUGCGGAGGAACACCGAUGGCGAAGGCAAUCCCCUGGACCUGUACUGACGCUCAUGCACGAAAGCGUGGGGAGCAAACAGG